Molecule: long non-coding RNA, 2456 nt
Organism: Sitodiplosis mosellana (orange wheat blossom midge)
Lineage: Eukaryota; Metazoa; Arthropoda; Insecta; Diptera; Cecidomyiidae
Exons: 3
Source: RefSeq, a predicted model, not a curated record
CUCACAUGCUGAUUUGGAAUAAGAACACACUCAGCCACUCAAUAAAGCUCUUUCUUAUUAAAUUCAUAUUCAUUUUUGUAUUUGUAUAAAAUGUGACAUUGGGAGUUACCAUCCAGUAGGAAUAAAAACUGAUAAAAACAACUGUGAUGAAGCGUUUACUCAGUAAAUUCUGAUUUCUUUUAUUGGCCAUACUGUUUGCUUUUCUGUGUCACGAUAACUCGGUUUCCUGUGUUCGUUCACAUCGCGGUUCUCUUUCUCUCUUUCGUCGUCUCUCUAACUUUCUUUCUUUCGCUUCCUCUCUUUUUCCUUUAUCGAAAAGUGCUCAAAACAGAUGUGAGUCUCACGAUUUUUACUCUCAUUUGAUGUGAUCAUUUCGAAAUGGCCGGUUCAUUCACUCUUGAAAGAACAUAUUUUUGGCAUUCUUGUUGAAUUUAAUUUUUGGAAUGAAAAUUUCGUUUUUAAAUUGUGAAUUAAUCAACUGUGUGUAGAUGAACAUUUUAAAUGUUGAUACCAUGGAUAAAAUUUGUGGGCAAUUUAAACUCAUUUGAAUUGAAUUCAUGGGUGUGCUGUUGUUAAAAUUAUGUUGAAAAUACAGAGUGUCUUGUGAUCAAACGUACAAUGAUAGAAAUAAGGAGUAAAUUCAAAUCAGACACCAAUUUUGGAUGAUUCGGAACGAAUAAAGAGAUACAAAUUCAUCGGACUUUUUUUUCAUGACAUUUACGAAAGAGACCUUGAAAACGAAAUGUCACUUCAGUACAAUAAUCUCAUAAGCAAUUUUUUUAGUGUUUUCACAACUUUAUUACUCAACUAUUUAGCCGAGUUCAAUAUCAGUUAUAAAUUCCCUCAUAUUCCACUCAUUUGACGUCACAUAAGUCACAUAACAAUAUCACUCAUAGCUCUAAUAUGAAGUGAGUGCAAAGACACAGUUCAGAGUGAUAAUGAAAUGAGCGUGCGAUGUGUUGAUGCAAUAUUUAACUGUGAUAAGAACAUUGAUCCUUUUUUUCUGCCUUCAAAUUGAUAGAGUCAUUUCAGAAUAUAUAAAAUUAACUUUGUUCAAAUAUGAUCACCGUAUGUUUCGGGCUAAUUUGAAUUAAUGACAAUAUGAACUACGACACUAGGAAAAAAAGUGUUUUUGUGAUACGAAAUUUGAAUUUGAAAUAAAAAUGCUUAGUCCAGCUUUGUGUACCCAAAGAUAUAUGACUUUGUUCCAAAAAUUCAAAAAAAAAAUCAUUCCAAGACCAAUGUGAAUAUUAUUUUGGCUGUCAGUUGAUGAUCAUGGUUCAAUUUUACAUUGGGCUAUUGAACAUAAAAAAUUGAUAAUUGGACCAAGUGAGAAAUGUCAAUAAUUUCUCAAAGGACUUUGAAAUUAAUUUCAAAUAGGAAGGAGAAACAGCUGUACAUUUAGCUGUUGCGAAUGGAAAUUUUCAAAAAUGAAUGAAAAAAAAAACAAUAUUCAAAACGGUUCUGUCUGUGUAGAAAGAGUGUUUUUCAAUCUAUUUCAUUCAUCGUUUCUUUCUCCAGUUCAAACGGAGGUCGUUGAACUUCUCAUUGAGGACGAACCCAGUGCGCAAAACGUAACGAAACUUUGUAUGAAGCGCGUGCAUAAUUCUUAUGCACAUUUGUAUCCAAAUUCGUGUGCACAGUUGUGCUUCGAACUGUGCAUCUAUUUGUAUAAAAAAUAUACAUAUUUUGUAUGUGCACAAUUAUGCACAAAAACUUUGUAUGUAUUUAAAUGUAUGUACACAAUAGUUAGACACAAUUGUGCACACAAAUCAAAUGUACUACAAAUCUAUUUUAGGUCUAAAUGUGUACAAACUAUUUCAUAAAAUAGACACGCAUUGCGCACUGGGGAAGGCGAUGUACGUGAAAAAGAUAACGAUGGAUGGACAUCUCUUCGCUGCCCUGCUGAGUGGGACGGUCAUUGAACUUCCCAUGGAGGGAAGGGUCGAUAUUCAUUCUAAAGACGAUGUGGGAUACACUCCUCUUAAGGUUGCAGAGGUGGCGUAAUUUUGGAUACUUAUGAUUGGAAGGAAUAUGAUGCAAUUCAUGUCAUUAAUCAAUUAUCAUAGAGAUUUGAGCGACCUCCUUGUGACCUAAAUGAUAAUUAUCAUUUAGAUCACAAGGAGGUCGCUUGAUUCUCUUUGAUAAAGGUGCACAGAUGUGAUGUAUCCAGUUGAAUUUCUACAAUUUCCAUUCGGUUGGUCUGCAAAAUACUAAUUAUGAUAUCUCAAUGUUGCCGUUAGAAUGAAUAUCUGCUCCUUUCUCGAUGGAAAUUUGAGGGGGCGAUAUUCAUUCUAAAACCAAUGAUGAGUGUACCACAAGAUGCAGGAUUUUUCGGCUUUCAAGCUCACUGCCUGCAUAUGAGCGAAAUGGGACUUCACUGUUCAAGAUCGGAUCAUAUUCAUCUUUAUAAUCCUUUUGGCAUGUGACGUUCUUGAAUAAACCGCGAUCGAUCC